GGACCCGUAGCUCAGCUGGAUAGAGCGCUGCCCUCCGAAGGCAGAGGUCGAUGGUUCGAAUCCAUUCGGGUCCGCCA
Molecule: transfer RNA, 77 nt
Filed under: Roseococcus suduntuyensis
Lineage: Bacteria; Pseudomonadati; Pseudomonadota; Alphaproteobacteria; Acetobacterales; Roseomonadaceae
Also listed under: 11 other names
Description: tRNA-Arg
Rfam family: tRNA
About the family: Transfer RNA (tRNA) molecules are approximately 80 nucleotides in length.
Source: RNAcentral